Molecule: ribosomal RNA, 425 nt
Filed under: uncultured bacterium
Lineage: Bacteria
Description: bacterial SSU rRNA
Rfam family: Bacterial small subunit ribosomal RNA
Source: RNAcentral
GUGAGGAAUAUUGGUCAAUGGACGAGAGUCUGAACCAGCCAAGUCGCGUGAAGGAUGACUGCCCUAUGGGUUGUAAACUUCUUUUGUACAGGAAUAAAGUGAGUCACGUGUGGCUUUUUGUAUGUACUGUACGAAUAAGGAUCGGCUAACUCCGUGCCAGCAGCCGCGGUAAUACGGAGGAUCCAAGCGUUAUCCGGAUUUAUUGGGUUUAAAGGGUGCGUAGGCGGACUUGUAAGUCAGUGGUGAAAGUUUUGAGCUUAACUGAAAAAUUGCCAUUGAAACUGCGGGUCUUGAGUGCAAAUGAGGUAUGCGGAAUGUGUUGUGUAGCGGUGAAAUGCAUAGAUAUGACACAGAACUCCGAUUGCGAAGGCAGCAUACUGGGAUGCAACUGACGCUGAUGCACGAAAGCGUGGGUAUCAAACAGG